UACAGAGGGUGCAAGCGUUUAAUCGGAAUUACUGGGCGUAAAGCGUGCGCAGACGGUUGCGUAAGUCAGAUGUGAAAGCCCCGGGCUCAACCUGGGAAUUGCAUUUGAGACUGCGUAGCUAGGGUGCGGAAGAGGGAAGCGGAAUUUCCGGUGUAGCGGUGAAAUGCGUAGAUAUCGGAAGGAACACCAGUGGCGAAAGCGGCUUCCUGGUCCAGCACCGACGUCAGGCACGAAAGCGUGGGGAGCAAACAGG
Molecule: ribosomal RNA, 253 nt
Filed under: uncultured bacterium
Lineage: Bacteria
Description: partial 16S ribosomal RNA
Rfam family: Bacterial small subunit ribosomal RNA
Source: RNAcentral